RNAcentral lists this ribosomal RNA (253 nucleotides) under uncultured bacterium. RNAcentral describes it as "partial 16S ribosomal RNA". It matches the Rfam family "Bacterial small subunit ribosomal RNA", at positions 524 to 776 of the family's 1533-position model. The record is from RNAcentral.
UACGGAGGGGACUAGCGUUGUUCGGAAUUACUGGGCGUAAAGCGCACGUAGGCGGCUUUGUAAGUCAGGGGUGAAAUCCCGGGGCUCAACCUCGGAACUGCCUUUGAUACUGCAAAUCUCGAGUCCGGAAGAGGUGAGUGGAAUUCCUAGUGUAGAGGUGAAAUUCGUAGAUAUUAGGAAGAACACCAGUGGCGAAGGCGGCUCACUGGUCCGGUACUGACGCUGAGGUGCGAAAGCGUGGGGAGCGAACCGG